Molecule: ribosomal RNA, 127 nt
Filed under: Castor canadensis (American beaver)
Lineage: Eukaryota; Metazoa; Chordata; Mammalia; Rodentia; Castoridae
Source: RNAcentral
GUCUAAGGCCAUAUCACCUUGAACACACCCAAUCUCAUCUGGUCUCAAAAGCCAAGCAGGCUCGGGCCUGUUAGUACUUGGAUGGAUCUUCAAAAGAGACUGCUCAGAGAAAAGCAGUUUGGAGACA